Molecule: ribosomal RNA, 437 nt
Filed under: uncultured Oscillospiraceae bacterium
Lineage: Bacteria; Bacillati; Bacillota; Clostridia; Eubacteriales; Oscillospiraceae
Description: bacterial SSU rRNA
Rfam family: Bacterial small subunit ribosomal RNA
Source: RNAcentral
ACGGGAGGCAGCAGUGGGGAAUAUUGGGCAAUGGGCGAAAGCCUGACCCAGCAACGCCGCGUGAAGGAAGAAGGUCUUCGGAUUGUAAACUUCUUUUAUGAGGGACGAAGGACGUGACGGUACCUCAUGAAUAAGCCACGGCUAACUACGUGCCAGCAGCCGCGGUAAUACGUAGGUGGCAAGCGUUAUCCGGAUUUACUGGGUGUAAAGGGCGCGUAGGCGGGGAUACAAGUCAGAUGUGAAAUCCAUGGGCUUAACUCAUGAACUGCAUUUGAAACUGUAUCUCUUGAGUGCUGGAGAGGUAGAUGGAAUUCCUUGUGUAGCGGUGAAAUGCGUAGAUAUAAGGAAGAACACCAGUGGCGAAGGCGGCUUACUGGACGGUAAAUGACGCUCAGGCUCGAAAGCGUGGGGAGCAAACAGGAUUAGAUACCCUGGUA